RNAcentral lists this ribosomal RNA (429 nucleotides) under Acidobacteriota bacterium. RNAcentral describes it as "Acidobacteria bacterium partial 16S ribosomal RNA". It matches the Rfam family "Bacterial small subunit ribosomal RNA", at positions 355 to 776 of the family's 1533-position model. The record is from RNAcentral. Lineage: Bacteria; Pseudomonadati; Acidobacteriota.
UGGGGAAUUUUGGACAAUGGGGGAAACACUGAUCCAGCCAUCCCGCGUGUGCGAUGAAGGCCUUCGGGUUGUAAAGCACUUUUGGCAGGAAAGAAACGUCAUGGGUUAAUACCCCGUGAAACUGACGGUACCUGCAGAAUAAGCACCGGCUAACUACGUGCCAGCAGCCGCGGUAAAACGUAGGGUGCAAGCGUUAAUCGGAAUUACUGGGCGUAAAGCGUGCGCAGGCGGUUCGGAAAGAAAGAUGUGAAAUCCCAGAGCUCAACUUUGGAACUGCAUUUUUAACUACCGGGCUAGAGUGUGUCAGAGGGAGGUGGAAUUCCGCGUGUAGCAGUGAAAUGCGUAGAUAUGCGGAGGAACACCGAUGGCGAAGGCAGCCUCCUGGGAUAACACUGACGCUCAUGAACGAAAGCGUGGGGAGCAAACAGG